Long non-coding RNA from Micropterus dolomieu (smallmouth bass), 1320 nucleotides. RefSeq lists it as uncharacterized. NCBI's taxonomy places the organism in Eukaryota, Metazoa, Chordata, Actinopteri, Centrarchiformes, Centrarchidae. The record is from RefSeq and is a predicted model, not a curated record. The transcript has 3 exons.
UAAACAUUCAGACUAGUAAGACAAAGUCAACUCACAAUGAAAAACAGCAAAGAAAACUCUCUCUACCCAAAACUGUUCUGACCCAUCUCUCAAAGGAUCCAGUUCCUGCUGAUCAUGUUGUCCUGCUGACCUUUUUGUGUAGACUGAAGCUCAUUGUUCUUUCAGUGAUGUCAAGCAGGCUUUGCUUACCUGUAGAGUCACAACAAACCCUCGGGGGAUCGUCCAAGCAGAGCAUCUCUGAAGUGCAUGCUUUAAUCAGGAGAUUAAGGCAUGCAUGAUCUGGAAGGUUAAAUUUAGAACACCUCUCAGAAUCUGAAAUAGCGUUUACACAGAUUAACUUGGGGCAUAUAUGCAGACUUUACAUAUAGAAGCUCUCUCUGACUGGAUUGCACUCCACCAGUAUCAUGCUACAGGCCCUUAAACACAAAGGACAAAAUAGGUUGGUUGGUUGGUUGGUUAGUUUCUUGCAUAACAACCCAUUUGACCAUUACAAUGACAAUUUGGGAGGUUAUGGAUUGAAGGUUUGAAGGCAAUGAUUGUGGUCGUGGUUAAAGGAAACCAACAUUGACUGUUUGUAGGAGAUAAGAUCUUAUAUCUCCAGUGUGCUGUAUGUUGACCUGAAACUGCUUUCUCAACCAGCAGACCGGACAGUGAUGACCAACACUUUCAUCUCAAACUGGCUAUCCCACACUGCCAUCUAUGGGUCAGUGAGUGAACACCAGCCAAGAAAAAGAACACAUAAGGCUGCCCUUACAUAAGUGAUCUAUAAACCAACGGUGUGUUGUAUGGCUUACAGUAAGCAGGCUGAGAUGAUGCUCAGCUGGGGGAUCCUACCAAGGAGGCAACACCAGCUCGACACGCCAUUCUGAUUUACACGUGACCCACAUUGAUGCACUAGUUUUGUGCUUCUGACAGAUCGAGGGGGAGUGAAAGAGAUGGACAGAGAGAGACAGAGAGGCUGCCAUUUUAUGCAUCCAAUCCCAGUCCCUUUUCGGCCACAAAACAAGCGCAGACACGCGUACAGUAAUUCAGAGUCUCUCCGAUGCAGUGAACCCAAUCCCAUCAGUUUAAGGAGGAUAAAUUCUGGCAGAGGGAAUUUAUCUGCAGCCAAGAUUUAUUUACUGGAAACAACUUUGGGUUUUCUUUCUCUAGCAGUCUGUCUCUUUCUUCUUUUUCACUCUGCCCUCAUGCUGUUUCUGCCUCCCGCUGUGUGUGUUGUCCUGCAGGUUCUGUGCGAGCUCAGCCAGGUCGAUAGGCGCUAAUGAAAGCCGCCUUUAUGAAGGUGUCAGCUGCUUUCCCUCACAGGAGCAAGCACCUCUA